RNAcentral lists this ribosomal RNA (253 nucleotides) under uncultured bacterium. RNAcentral describes it as "partial 16S ribosomal RNA". It matches the Rfam family "Bacterial small subunit ribosomal RNA", at positions 524 to 776 of the family's 1533-position model. The record is from RNAcentral.
UACAGAGGUCUCAAGCGUUGUUCGGAUUCAUUGGGCGUAAAGGGUGCGUAGGUGGCGCGGUAAGUCGGGUGUGAAAUUUCGGAGCUUAACUCCGAAACUGCAUUCGAUACUGCCGUGCUUGAGGACUGGAGAGGAGACUGGAAUUUACGGUGUAGCAGUGAAAUGAGUAGAUAUCGUAAGGAAGACCAGUGGCGAAGGCGGGUCUCUGGACAGUUCCUGACACUGAGGCACGAAGGCCAGGGGAGCAAACGGG